AGUGAUCCUUUUGUAUCACGGAGAGCAGAAGCGACCUCGAUCGAACAUGGCGUCGAUCUGAUUAAGGUGCUAUAGUGUCACCAAGUACCAGACACCGGAGCAGACGCAGGUGUCGCACGACUACAAGCUUCAACACAAACUGGUUUCUUGAGUGCGUGGAAGCAUCUAGAAAACAGAAGAGCAAUUGGCAAAACCACCUUCACAUUACGAGCCAAAUUGAAAUCACCCAGACAAGGAAAUAAGUUUCCUUGACGCGCGGCGUCCUGCUGGCGAGUCAAGUCGAGGAAGUUGCGAGCAUGUUGGUCCGGCUCCGUAGCGUCUUGGGAACCCAGUUGAAAUGCGACGCGCUCGGCUCCAUGGAUUGCGAGUAGA
Molecule: long non-coding RNA, 372 nt
Organism: Dermacentor albipictus
Lineage: Eukaryota; Metazoa; Arthropoda; Arachnida; Ixodida; Ixodidae
Source: RefSeq, a predicted model, not a curated record